UUGGAUCCCGGGUGUGGACAUGGCACCGUUUGGCAAGCCAUGCUGUGGAGAAUAGGAACACCCAGCUGUGAGUGCCUGGCCCGCCAUAGCAACACCAAGGAAGACUUCCUUCAUAGACCAGGCCAGCUCCUGGACGCCAGGGUCUGCUUUCCUCUUCCUCAUUUAUAACUUUAUAAUUUUGAAAGAGAUUGAGACCCAGGGCGGGGACACUUGAGCCCCAUCCGAGUCGAACGGAGGAAGGAGAAAAUGCUUCUGAUUGGGACAUAGCCCCUUGAAGUGGCAGCCUGGAGGGACAGAGGAAGAGUGCUAUCUUCCCCUACCCCCACCACAGUCUGUGAACCCCUUGAGAGUAAGGACUUUGCUUUUUCAUUUUUGUAUCCCCAAAGAAUCUGGGCUAAUGUUGGUGAUUAAUCCGUCUUUGGGAAAGUUAGAAAUGGAAGGGAAAGGAGGGCCAGAAGAGACAUCAUACAUUUUCCUCUCGAUGCCAUUGCCUCCCUCGUCCCAAAGGCUUUACCUGAAAGACUCACCUGGUGUUUUUACCUGAAGAGUCACAUUAGCAGUCUUCUGAGCCCCUAGUUGAAUCAACCCAAAGUUUCUCACUUUACAGUCCUGGAAAUAUCUACUCUGUGUCAGGAACUACAGCAGAUGCUGAGGAUAUGAAGAUGAAUAAGACGAUCUUUGCCCUCAAGGAACUUAGAGAACAGCUGGAGUGGAAGAUAAGUAUAGCAAAAUUAGCGAUAUGAGAGAGGCAAGGGCAAGUUACUGAGGGAGCACAUGGGGGGCAUCUAACCUUAAUGGAAGGAGAGUAAUCAGGGAUGGCUUCCCAGAGGAGGUAAUGAUGCUUGAUCUGCGUCUUGAAGGAUGAGUGGAGGAAAGAAGUUCUAAGCAGAAGGAGCGAGGUCUACAAAGGCACAAAGGUCAGAGAGCUCCCACCAAAGUGUAAAUGUGUUGCUGGGGAAAGGAGGAAGAAGGAGGGAGAUGGUGGUGUUCACAGUUGUCUGUAGGUUACUGGGAAGACAGGCAUGGCCAGAUCAUAAGGACAACUUAUGCCUUGAUAAGAAAUUUUCACGUUUUCUUAAAGACUGUGCAAACCAUUAAAGAAGUUUAAGCAGCAGAAUAAUACGAUUGAGGAUGGAUCAGGGAGGACAAUCCUAGAGGCAGAGAGUCCAGUUAAGAGAUUGGGGCAAUCAUGAGUCAAGGGAUGACAAGGGCCUGGGGUACUGGCACAGGGGACAGAGAGGAAGCGAAUGUGUUUAAGAGCCAUUAAGAAGAUGGAAGAGAGAAGGCUAUGAGACUAAAUGGAUAUGGGAGAUGAAAGAGGAGGAAUCAAAGAUGGCUUUGUUUCUGGUUUGGGUGAUUGAGUGGGUGAUGGGUUCAUUCACCAAGAUAGGGAAUAGAGGAGGAGGAUCAGUCUGGAGAAAAGUAGAUCCAUUUUGGGACAUUUUGACUCUCCAGUAAAGAUGAUCAUUAGCUGGUUGGACACUGGGGUGUGACACUCAGAAAAGAGGUCCGGUCAUCAGCUUAUGAGUGGACAAGAAUUGAUGAGAUUGCCUUGGAUGCGAAUAUAAGAAAAGAUGAGAAAAGAAUUGAGAGAUUGCUGAAGGAACAUAAGAUUUAAGGGCCGGGGAAGUAAAAGGAACCCACAAAGGAAAUUGAGUCAUAGUCAGAGAUAAUAAAGAAAAAUUGAGGGGGCCAGACCAGUGGUGCAGUAGUUAAGUUUGCAUGUUCCGCUUCGGUGGCCCAGGGUUCGUUGGUUCAGAUCCCAGGUGCAGACCUAUGCACCACUCAUCAAGCCAUGCUGUGGCAGGCACCCCACAUAUAAAGUAGAGGAAGAUGGACACAGAUGUUAGCUCAGGGCCAAUCUUCCUCAGCAGAGGGAGGAGGAUUGGCAGCAGAUGUUAGCUCAGGGCUAAUCUUCCUCGAAAAAAAGAAAAAAGAAAAAUUGAUAUCCCGGAAGCCAAGGAUCAGUGGUACCACAGAGAUGUAAAGUGAAGUGAGCUCCUAUUAGCUUUAACAACUGUGAUGUCUUAGCAUCUUUAAUGAGAUUGAUGGGAGUGGGGUCAGGGAAAGGGAGCCUGAUUGUAGGGGCAAGGAGAUAAUGGGAAGCAGAAAAAUGGAGGCAGUGAGUGUGGACUAGUCUUUCAAGGUGAAAAGAAAGAUGGGACCAUAGCCAAAGGGAAAUGUGGAGUGGAGGAAGGUGUUUCCUUGAGUGAAUUAAGGGGUGGGGUGUGGUCCAGAGCCAGGUGGAGGAUUAGCUUCUUCCAUGGGAACAGGGGAAAGGGAAAGAAUGGGUGGGGAUGCAGGGUGGCAAGGAGUCAAAGGUAUUCUCUUCUGAUGGUUUCUAUUUUCUAGGUGAAGAAUCCAGUUUAUAUGCUAAGAGUGAGGAUAGAGGUUUGAGAAUAAUAGCCAAUUUGAGGAAAAUUUGCCUGAAGAAAGUGGAGAAAAGAGUAGAAGCUGACCUGUGGGAUGAGGCAACCAAGGUCCUGGUCAGCCUUGUCGGUGUUCGGACCAUAAAUGUAAAAGGCUUCUGUGCAGUAAAGGGUUCGCUCAGCAGGCCCUGGUUGCUCAAGCUCUGCGCAUGCACAUUCCAAAGAAAAGUCUGUCUUCAGGGGGAGUGGCCCUUAACCAGCCUGCAAGAUGACCUCGCAGCCAUCCGACUGUCCUGCCUGAUAAAAGUGUUUUUAAAUGCCUGAGGCCUUGAGCCAUGCUGUCUCAGUUUGACCUCUGGGAGGCUGCAGCUUGAGUAGUUACAAGGUCGGUCAUGCAGGUGCUAGGUGCCUAUGUGACUGGCCCCCAAUAAAAACCCUGGACGCCAAGGCUUGGCUGAGCUCCCUGUUUGGGGAUAGUUCACACGUGUUGUCACACAUCAUUUCUGGGAGAAUUAAGCACGUCCCUGUGCGACUCCAGUAGGAGGGGAUACCUGGAAGCUUGCACCUGGUUUCUCCUGGACUUCACCCGUACGCCUUUUCUCUUUGCUGAUUUUAAUCUGUAUCCUUUCACUGUAAUAAGCCAUAGCUUUAUAUAACAGCUCCUUUGAGUUCUGUGAGUCCUAGUGGAUCAGCAAUCCUGAAGGAACCUGAGAGUGGUCUUGGUGACCCCCAAUACAGCAUGCAUUGUCUAGACUAGUGAGAAACUGGAAACAUUUAAAUGACUACAAGUAAUGGAUUGGUGAAAUAAGUUGUUUUAUCCAUUCAGUGAAAUAUUAGGCAACUAUUUAAACAGAUAACAAAGGAAGUGGUUGAUCUAUGAAAAAUAUUGAAAGAUAUAUAUCAAACUGUUAAUACUAGUUAUUUCUGCAAGCCGGCGGGAGGGAAACUUACAUGAUAGGCUUUAUACGGUUCUUUCUAUGUAGUUUUUAUUUUCUUCAACCAGUAUUAUUAAAGCUAUUCACUGUCAACAAUUGUAGAUAUUUACAUUCUGGAAAAAGGAAGAAAAAACUAUUACGGAUUUAUCUCCUGAACAUUAUAUUAAGGUAUCCUAAUUAUUCCCUCAGCUUUAUCAAUUUUCUGUUGGAAGUGAGCUUUUUUUCUCAGCUCCCUAAAAUGGCUAUUUGUUCCUUCAAGGAUGGGAGUAGGAGACACAUCUGAACUGUUAUUGAAUACCCUCAGAGCCUGGCUCAGUAAGUACCUAUAACUGGGUGAAUAAAAAUGCGUCAGUUAGUGAGGCUGAA
This is a non-coding RNA of Equus caballus (horse), 3670 nucleotides long. The record is from RefSeq and is a predicted model, not a curated record. NCBI's taxonomy places the organism in Eukaryota, Metazoa, Chordata, Mammalia, Perissodactyla, Equidae.